CAAGAGGCCCUGCUGCUUUCCCCUCCCACUCCUUCAGUGCGACAGCCUCAGAGCUGAUGGAAAGACAGAGAGCACGCAAAGCAACUGGGAAAAAAUUCAGACAUGGAGUUCGUGGACCAAAUGGUCACCAAUUGCUUCAGCAUUACGUAUUGAGUAAUACAGCCUUCUUCCACCGAUGUGAAGUGUCAACAGCUGAUCUCCCAUUAGAUAGGGUGUAGCUUUCCACAGGUAUUUCGAGAUUAAAAGCUGUGUGGAUUCAGUUCCUGGACUUUUCUAGAGGUAAAUGUAAGAAAUGUAUGAGAUGAAGAAAUGUUCUCAAUUAUCUUGCUGGCAGUAAUGCGACCUCAGAGUUUACAGGAUGGAGUGGAAGGAUCAAGACAUGAAGCAUGACGGCUUUCAGUAGGAGGACCUGGGGAAAUUGAGGCAGCCCAAAGUGCAAGGUGGAGGAAGGCUUCGUGGACGGUGUGCAUUUGCCACCUAGUGACCACAUUGAAUGUUGAUAUUUGUGAUUCUCACCUCAAACUGGUAGCCUGACCUUGGCUCCUGAGUUCUGCGGUCCCUUCACAACUGCAAGUCAUUCUGAUACAACAUUUUGGUUGACAUUGUCUGCUGUUCUUUGGGAUCUUUAGAACAAUACCCAAGUUCAAAUUAUCACUGCUGAGUUGCCUGAUUGUGCACGUGCAAAAAAAUUUCACCAUUUGUGUUACUUGCUUCAGCUCUCUGUGCUUCGGCCUGUUCUGUCUGCAGUCAUUGCGCAUGCACCUGUGUUAUCAUAUAAAAAACGGCUUAGCCCUUU
Molecule: long non-coding RNA, 796 nt
Organism: Mesocricetus auratus (golden hamster)
Lineage: Eukaryota; Metazoa; Chordata; Mammalia; Rodentia; Cricetidae
Exons: 7
Source: RefSeq, a predicted model, not a curated record